UAGUUUUGAUUUUUAACCAAACCGGACCGUGAACAGUGGAUAAUGAUCCAUGUAGAAGUGGCAAACAGUAAGAAAUGAGACUAGAAAUGACAAUAUGUACACUUGUAAGACUUGCAUACCAAGAGAUGGUCACAGUCUCACAGAUAACAAAAGAGUUGACACAAUAGAACAACUAACUAGCCUGAUUGUGGCUAAGAAGAUAAAUACUCUUUCACCAUCAAGAUUUCACUACACAGCUUUUUAGGAACUUGUUGUAAUGCUUUUCCUUCUUGCCAGGCUUGCCCUACCAUCACUCCUGGCCCGGCAUGACGUAUAUAUAUGACUAUCUCAUCGUUAAAUGGCCAUGGAUGCUCCGCUGGCAUGGGGAAACCACGAGGAAAAUCAGGGAGAUCCAAUAUUCCAUCUUUGAAUUCAUAUGCUAAAUCACAAGGCUCUUCUGUAGACAUCACUUCUUUGACUUCACUAACCGUAAAGUACAAAGGAGAAAAUGAACUCGAGAGCCCAGAGAAAACUGAUUCGCUAAUAAGUCGCCCGUAUGCCUUUCCAUCACCAGCGUGAAAUACAACCUUUUUGAAAAAAUUUAACCAGGCAAUCUGCAGUGGCCCUCCGCUUGUUCUGCACUUCCAAAAUUCAGCAACUGUAUCACUAUUUCCAGUUGCUAGCAAGCUAGAUGCACUUUUCUCUACCAGUUUUGAAUUAUUGUACCGUGUCCCAGCUAUCUCCCAAGCUUGUGAAAUCAACCUUGGGUUAAGCAAGGCCAACAACCUGUGCCGCCUUUCCUCCGGAAUAUCCUCAAUUUUCUUCCAGAGAUAAAGGGCGGGAUUAUAAGAAGAUGGAUCCAAAGGAAUAAGCUCCAUGGGAGGGUCAAGGAAGGUGACUACAUCCUGUUCGUCCAAGUACACUAUCUUGCCAUUCGGUAAAACUUGGUAGGGUUUUUCAUCCCACGGUGAGGCAGAGCUGGAGAAUGAAGACGAAGUUGCCCGUACGGCGGCAUUGUAGUUCGCCCGACGCGAAAUUGACAGAGACGUGCCGGACGGAAGAGCUGAGCCAAACUUUGUGGAACAGAAAUGCGAAGCUUGCUGCCGAUUUUUGCAAGUGAUUAUUUUUGGGGAGAAGACCGCGAGGCUACGGGCGCGCGCCCUCUCUGGUGCAGCUGUUGCUUGAGGAUACUGCAUUGUGAAAAGCCCAGGUUUAGCCAAGUGAGAAGUAAACCAUUG
RNAcentral lists this unclassified non-coding RNA (1217 nucleotides) under Hevea brasiliensis (rubber tree). Lineage: Eukaryota; Viridiplantae; Streptophyta; Magnoliopsida; Malpighiales; Euphorbiaceae. The record is from RNAcentral.